GAAGGGGCUUGCUCCUGGAUUCAGCGGCGGACGGCUGUUAAAUACGCAGGAAUCUACCUAGUAGUGGGGGAUAACCCCUCGAAAGGAACGCUAAUACCGCAUACGUUCUGAGGAAGAAAACAGGGGACCUUCGGGCCUUGCGCUAUUAGAUGAGCUUGCGUCCGAUUAGCUAGUUGGUGGGGUAAAGGCCUACCAAGGCGACGAUCGGUAACUGGUCUGAGAGGAUGAUCAGUCACACUGGAACUGAGACACGGUCCAGACUCCUACGGGAGGCAGCAGUGGGGAAUAUUGGACAAUGGGGGCAACCCUGAUCCAGCCAUGCCGCGUGUGUGAAGAAGGCCUUCGGGUUGUAAAGCACUUUAAGCGGGGAGGAAGGGCUUGAGGCUAAUAUCCUUGAGCAUUGACGUUACCCGCAGAAUAAGCACCGGCAAACUUCGUGCCAGCAGCCGCGGUAAUACGAAGGGUGCGAGCGUUAAUCGGAAUUACUGGGCGUAAAGCGCGCGUAGGUGGUUGAGUAAGCGAUCUGUGAAAGCCCCGGGCUUAACCUGGGAACUGCAGGUCGAACUGCUUAGCUAGAGUAUGGUAGAGGGGUGUGGAAUUUCCUGUGUAGCGGUGAAAUGCGUAGAUAUAGGAAGGAACAUCAGUGGCGAAGGCGACACCCUGGACCGAUACUGACACUGUGGCGCGAAAGCGUGGGUAGCGAACAGGAUUAGAUACCCUGGUAGUCCACGCCGUAAACGAUGUCUGCUAACCGUUGGGGGG
Molecule: ribosomal RNA, 762 nt
Filed under: uncultured bacterium
Lineage: Bacteria
Description: bacterial SSU rRNA
Rfam family: Bacterial small subunit ribosomal RNA
Source: RNAcentral